GUGCAUGAUUUCUGUGCCCUCGAUAUUUUUGGGCUUAAUGGGCCAAAAUUGGAAUGAUGGGCCAACGGGCCCAAUUCGAUAGGGACCCUCGGAAAUCCCCAACCAUAGUGGGCUUGGAGCUGUGAGGGAAUUCGGAGUGGCCACCCGUUCUGAAAGUUUGAUUUUCUUCUGGUGAACUGGACAUCAUUUUAUUUACGUCUGAAGUUUUUGGGCUUUUAAAUGUAAUAAGGCCGCUUAAUUAUUUUUGAUGGUUUUAAUAUGUAUUACUAAGAUAGGUAAUACUUAUUUUAACUGUUGAAAUUAGAUAGCUUUAGGGCGCGUUUUCAAAAACAACAGUUGAUUUCAAAAUAACACGACAACAAGCAAAGCUUCCGCAAUGAAAGUAUUUUUCCAAAA
This is a long non-coding RNA of Gossypium arboreum, 396 nucleotides long. RefSeq lists it as uncharacterized. The transcript has 2 exons. The record is from RefSeq and is a predicted model, not a curated record. NCBI's taxonomy places the organism in Eukaryota, Viridiplantae, Streptophyta, Magnoliopsida, Malvales, Malvaceae.